This 497-nucleotide ribosomal RNA is filed under the name uncultured bacterium. Its description in RNAcentral is "partial 16S ribosomal RNA". It matches the Rfam family "Bacterial small subunit ribosomal RNA", at positions 28 to 507 of the family's 1533-position model. The record is from RNAcentral.
GAUGAACGCAGGCGGCGUGCCUAAUAUAUGCAAGUCGAGCGAACAGACCAGGAGUUUGCUCCUUUGACGUUAGCGGCGGACGGGUGAGUAACACGUAGGUAACCUACCUAUAUUACUGGGAUAACUUCGGGAAACCGGCGCUAAUACCGGAUAAUAUUCCGAACCGCAUUUUUCGAUAGUGAAAGACGGCUUUGCUAUCACUUAUAGAUGGACCUGCGCCGUAUUAGCUAGUUGGUAAGGUAACGGCUUACCAAGGCAACGAUACGUAGCCGACCUGAGAGGGUGAUCGGCCACACUGGAACUGAGACACGGUCCAGACUCCUACGGGAGGCCGCAGUAGGCACUCUGCCGCAAUGAGCGAAAGCCUGACGGAGCAACACCGCGUGAGUACUGAAAAUGUUCGGGUCGUAAAAAUCUGUUAUUAGAGAAGAACCAACAUGUAAGUAACUGUGGACAGAUUGACGGUACCAAGUCAGCCUGACACGGCUGACUACAGU